This is a long non-coding RNA of Myotis brandtii (Brandt's bat), 130 nucleotides long. RefSeq lists it as uncharacterized. The record is from RefSeq and is a predicted model, not a curated record. Lineage: Eukaryota; Metazoa; Chordata; Mammalia; Chiroptera; Vespertilionidae. The transcript has 3 exons.
CAAGUAUACUUAUAUUACCCUGGCUAGGUAGCUCAGUAGGUUAGAGCACUGCCCCAAUACACCAAGGUGGGGUUGAUCCCUGCUCAGGGAACAUACAAGAAUCAAUCAAUGAAACUGUAAAUAAGUGGAA